UGGGGAAUAUUGGACAAUGGGCGAAAGCCUGAUCCAGCAAUGCCGCGUGAGUGAUGAAGGCCUUAGGGUUGUAAAGCUCUUUUACCCGGGAUGAUAAUGACAGUACCGGGCGAAUAAGCCCCGGCUAACUCCGUGCCAGCAGCCGCGGUAAUACGGAGGGGGCUAGCGUUGUUCGGAAUUACUGGGCGUAAAGCGCACGUAGGCGGCUUUGCAAGUCAGAGGUGAAAGCCCGGGGCUCAACCCCGGAAUUGCCUUUGAGACUGCAUCGCUUGAACAUCGGAGAGGUAAGUGGAAUUCCGAGUGUAGAGGUGAAAUUCGUAGAUAUUCGGAAGAACACCUGUGGCGAAAGCGGCGCACUGGACCACAACUGACGCUGAGGCGCGAAAGCUAGGGGAGCAAAC
This 401-nucleotide ribosomal RNA is filed under the name uncultured bacterium. RNAcentral describes it as "bacterial SSU rRNA". It matches the Rfam family "Bacterial small subunit ribosomal RNA", at positions 355 to 773 of the family's 1533-position model. The record is from RNAcentral.